This 590-nucleotide long non-coding RNA is filed under the name Homo sapiens (human). RNAcentral describes it as "HSALNT0238399". The record is from RNAcentral. Lineage: Eukaryota; Metazoa; Chordata; Mammalia; Primates; Hominidae.
GAGCUCAGCAUGAUCAAGGAACAGCAAGCCCCGUGUGGCUGGAAUGGAGUGAGCAAAGGAAUGAGCAGUAGAAGGAUCCAUGUUCUCACAAGCUAUGAAGAAAUGGGUGCAAGGAAAUACUGAUGAGGCCCAGGAAGAGCUAGCUUGGAAGAUUGCUAAAAUGAUAGUCAGUGACAUUAUGCAGCAGGCUCAGUAUGAUCAACCGUUAGAGAAAUCUACAAAGUUAUGACUCAAAACUUGAGAUAAAGGAAAUCUGCUUGUGAAAAAUAAGAGAACUUUUUUCCCUUGGUUGGAUUCUUCAACACAGCCAAUGAAAACAGCACUAUAUUUCUGAUCUGUCACUGUUGUUUCCAGGAGAGAAUGGGAGACAAUCCUAGACUUCCACCAUAAUGCAGUUACCUGAUAGUAAGAGACUCACUCACUGCACUUCUGCUCAGUUGGCUUCUGCAUCGGGAUCACACAGCCAUCAGCAGGACUGCCCAGUUGGUGAGCACACUCCAUUGACCACGUGGCGCCAGCGCUUCCUCAAUGCACAUGAUUGAGAGGAAAGAAAGUUCUCUUAGAUGUUACUGCUUUUGCUCAGACUUUGC